Molecule: small nuclear RNA, 104 nt
Organism: Nycticebus coucang (slow loris)
Lineage: Eukaryota; Metazoa; Chordata; Mammalia; Primates; Lorisidae
Source: RefSeq, a predicted model, not a curated record
UCUGUAUCAUUCCAAUUAAAAUUAAAAUUAGAAUGAUACAGAGAAGAUUAGCAUGGCCCCUGUGCAAGGGUGACACACAAAUUCGUGAAGUGUUCUAUAUUUUU